CGAUCAUCAAUCGUUUGCAACUCGCCAGCGUUUUGUGUGUCACUCCAGAUCCCAGCAGCGGCUGUAUCUGUGUCUGCAGGGAGAUGGGAUUAGUUACGAAUGACAUCAGGCAUUGUAGUGCAGCUGCUAAGUUAACAAAUUUCGCGACACAUGCUGGUGAUAAUAAACCUGAGUCUGACAUUGAAUGCUGAGCUGCAGUCAAUAAGGAGUAUCCUGAUGGAUGUACAGAUGUUCCAGGGUUGAAUGAAGAGCUAAAGACUUGGCAUCUGCUGUGGACCUGUUGCUUCAGUAGGCAAAAUGGAAUGGAUCAAAGUUGCAAACAGGCAGGAGUUGAUAUGUUUCAUCACCAAGCUCUGACACUUCACCACUGUGGAUGUACAGCCCCAUUCCCCUGUUUUCUCCCCAUAAAUUUUGAUGCUGGAUCCAAUCAAAAACUGAUCAAGCUCAGCCUUAAAUACCACCUGGCUGGAGGAGAGAAGAGAAGAUUGCGGUGCGAUGCAGUGCGCGCGGCCGUUCCGAAUGAAUAUCGUAUGUGUAACUAGGGGGCCAUGCACAAUCCAGAUUUGAUGGAGACAGCCGUGAGAAGCACGGGGAAACACCUGGAGUAACUUCUAAAAUGCCUGCUUCACUGCUGCUGCUACUGUGCGAUCGAGAAUCUCCGGAGGGGAAAGCCCCAAAUCCUCGGCUUUGCCUAUUGCCUGUUACUGGGGCCGGGGUCGAAGCGCUCGGCAGAGACGAUGCUCGGUGCUCGGUGUCAGAGAGCUGGUCAGAGGCUCGGAGUUUUCAGACGGACUCGGAGUCGCACUGUGGUCGGAUGCUUCCAGUAUGCUGCAUCGGCAAGUUGGCGGCGCCGUAGGUUCACCGUCUGCGUGAGAUGAUGGGACUUUUGAGAGACUUUGAGACUUUUACCAUGCCAUGGUCUGUUCUUAUCAAAUUAUAGUAUUGCUUUGCACUGUUGUAACUAUAUGUUAUAAUUAUGUUGUUUUUGUUAGUUUUUAAGUCGGUUUGUCAUGUGUUUCUAUGAUAUCAUUCUGGAAAAACAUUGCAUCAUUUCUUAAUGCAUGCAUUACUAAAUGACAAUAAAA
Mobula hypostoma (lesser devil ray) is the source of this 1085-nucleotide long non-coding RNA. RefSeq lists it as uncharacterized. The transcript has 3 exons. Lineage: Eukaryota; Metazoa; Chordata; Chondrichthyes; Myliobatiformes; Myliobatidae. The record is from RefSeq and is a predicted model, not a curated record.